CUUCCCACUCUGGGCUUUGCUGUCCCCUGUGUACCUGGAUGGGGCAACAGCAGCCGGUCACCCCCAACCCCCGCCCCCAGCUAUUCUUGGUCAAGCUGUUUUCCAGGGGUCACCCAGCCAUCGGAGACCCUGGCUCUGCGCUGUCCUAGUAGGCGCUGCUCCCCCUCCGUUCCUGGGGUCAGAUUCUCCACACCCGGUCCUGUAUACCAGGCUGCUGGCCCUCACCUGGGUGCCCCUUCUCUCCCAGUCUUUGCGUUUGCCAUUCCUACCUGGAACACUUUCCCUCUGGGUCUUUUCCUGGCUCCCCCCUCCCAUGUCCCUUGCUUGGGCCGAGCCUCUUUUCUCCCCAGGACUCAAUAUCUGAACCAAACUUCACGACUCUCGUCUGUCCCUUGCAGGACAAUAAAGCGUCAGACAGACCAGGACUUCACGUUGCUCACCCCUACAAUCCAACACCUGCAACCAUCCCCACCUAGUGAGGAGGCUCAGGAAAUAUUUAUUUGUUGGGGAAAAAACAAACAAAAUCCUCCUCCCCUGAAAUCCUUGGCAUUCAUUGUGCCGGGGUGGAGGCACCGAGACACUGGCACCCAGGUGAGCUGCCAGGAAAGGCCACUCCAGCAGGAAUUUCCGGCACAGGGGCACCUCUUCCUUUCCACUCCAGGAAGUGAGGGGACAAAGCCCAAGGCCGGGCUGCCUCUGUCACAGAAGUCAAGUCUGGGGUCUGGCCAGGCACAGCCAACAGGGCUUGUCACAGGAUGCAGAGGCCGAGGGGACUCACACAGGGAGCUCUGCCUGGCCAAGGGCAGCGGGGAGCGCUUGAGUAUUCCAAACAGGCAGCUCCCCAGGAGGAAAGGGUUCUUUCCUUCUCCUGAGUGGGGAAGGCCAGCAGGGAGCUGCUGCUGAAGGAGGAAAUCUGCGAGUGUUAUCCAUUGCACCAGCCUGGAGAUUCCCACUCCAGGAAGCCUCUGGAAGCUGAGAGAGAAACUCGAGGGUCAGGCCUGAGGCCACAGCCCCGGACUGAGGCUGAGCCGGUUCCCCACUGAGUUCUUUGAGUUAGCAGCAACUUUGGCCGGGCUAAUUACGCUGGCCUCACCCUGACCCUGGCCCUGGAGACACUAGGACGGCUCUGCUGUGUCCCCCUCUCCCCCAGGAAUCACGGGAAGAGAUUAGCCUGCGCUCCAGCUCUGCAGGCCUCAGUGACGUCCCCGGAGCCUCACAGCUGAUUCCUGCUGUUGGCCCGGCUCCUGCCUGGCCUGUCCUCUGCCCCACACAGAGCAGAUCGGCCUCCGGAAGAACCAACAGGUUCAAGAAGAGUUUACAUCUGGCCUGCAGAGAUUUAUCUAAUAUUUAUUAAGCGAUUAUGGCCCCAGACUCUGGAGCCAGACUGCCCACGUUCAACCCUGGAUGACCACUUGGGGGCUGCAUGACCAUGGACGUGUCCCUUCCUGUCCCCUGUAAACACAGGGAUUCCAGCGUCCACCCUUUGCGGAGGGUCAGAGGACCAUAUGAGAAAAGACACGUGAAAUACUCCCUCCGCAGGCCGCGCUGGGCAUCGGGCUUCAGUGAAGAACCACCUUACCAUUACUAGUCAACAGGUUAAGGAUGAGGGAGCAGUCAGGCCUGGAUCUCUGGACCGGACAACCAAGGCGCUCAUUCUCCCUCUCCCGGGCCAAGACCACUCUGCUCAGACCCAGCCUGGGAGUGAGGAAGGCGGAGUCCCAGGCUCUGGAUUCAAAUUCCAGUGCCAUCACCCGCUGGCUCUGGGACCUGGGUAAGUGCUGUGGUUUAUAUCUAGGUGUUCUCCCAACGCCUCAUGCACUCACAGAUGGGGUUCGGGAGCUGACUGGAUAGUGGGGUGUGAUACGCAUUGGUGGAUUAGUUUCACUGAUGCAUUUACAGCUAAAUGUGAUGCUGGGAGGUGAAGCUUGGUUGGAGCGGGUGGGUCACUGUGGGUGUGGCCUGGAAGAGUCUGUCUCCCUGCUUGAUUUCUCUCUGGUUCCCCCCACCAUGCUAUGAGCUCUUUCUCCUUGCCAUGCCCACCCCCUCACCAUGCUGCCCUGGCCCCAGCGCCAGCCCACAAUGGACUGAAACCUAUACAAAUUAUGAGUCAAAAUAAACCUUUCC
Chinchilla lanigera (long-tailed chinchilla) is the source of this 2124-nucleotide long non-coding RNA. Lineage: Eukaryota; Metazoa; Chordata; Mammalia; Rodentia; Chinchillidae. The record is from Ensembl.